AAAUUCUUACAGUAUGCAUUUGAACUGUAUUCUGUCUAUACAACUUUAGCUGCCUGAAGGAUUGCCUCUUCAGUUGCCUGAUGCUGGAGCACUGUGAAACAAGAAUAAAGGAGGGCACAUCAAUGCUGUCAAAACUCAGAACUCUUCUGCAGUAGCAGAACUUGAGGUUUCAUGUGAGUCUGGCUCAACACUGUGUUGUCCAAAUGGCCAGCUGGAGGUAAAACAGAGACUAUUUAAAGGCACAGCCACACAACCUUGUGCACAAACUUCUGUCUUCCACUUGGAGCUUUUGUUAUCCUUAAAAUAUAGAUAACAAG
RNAcentral lists this long non-coding RNA (317 nucleotides) under Numida meleagris (helmeted guineafowl). RNAcentral's name for it is "lncRNA (ENSNMEG00000009007.1)". Lineage: Eukaryota; Metazoa; Chordata; Aves; Galliformes; Numididae. The record is from RNAcentral.